AGGACGAACGCUGGCGGCGUGCCUCAUACAUGCAAGUGGAGCGACGAACCAGGAUUUAUCCUGGGGCAAAGCCGCGAACGGGUGAGUAACACGUGGGUUACCUGCCCCGAUGAUUGGGACAACCCGAGGAAACUCGGGCUAAUACCAAAUGUGUUCUUGGUCGUGAUGACCAAGAAGAAAGGAAGCCUCGGCCUCCGCAUCGGGAUGGGCCCGCGGCCCAUUAGCUAGUUGGUGGGGUAAUGGCCUACCAAGGCGACGAUGGGUAGCUGGUCUGAGAGGACGAUCAGCCACACUGGGACUGAGACACGGCCCAGACUCCUACGGGAGGCAGCAGUAGGGAAUCUUGCGCAAUGCGCGAAAGCGUGACGCAGCAACGCCGCGUGGAGGACGAAGGCUUUCUGAGUUGUAAACUCCUUUCAGCAGGGACGAUUGUGACGGUACCUGCAGAAGAGCACCGGCAACUACGUGCCAGCAGCCGC
RNAcentral lists this ribosomal RNA (479 nucleotides) under uncultured bacterium. RNAcentral's name for it is "SSU rRNA". It matches the Rfam family "Bacterial small subunit ribosomal RNA", at positions 26 to 518 of the family's 1533-position model. The record is from RNAcentral.